RNAcentral lists this ribosomal RNA (443 nucleotides) under uncultured bacterium. RNAcentral describes it as "partial 16S ribosomal RNA". It matches the Rfam family "Bacterial small subunit ribosomal RNA", at positions 338 to 795 of the family's 1533-position model. The record is from RNAcentral.
CCUACGGGAGGCAGCAGUGGGGAAUAUUGGGCAAUGGAGGAAACUCUGACCCAGCAACGCCGCUUGAAUGAUGAAGGCCUUCGGAUUGUAAAGUUCUUUUCUAAGGGAAGAAGAAAGUGACGGUACCUUAGGAAUAAGCCUCGGCUAACUACGUGCAAGCAGCCGCGGUAAUACGUAGGAGGCAAGCGUUAUCCGGAAGGACUGGGCGUAAAGGGUGCGUAGGUGGUUGGACAAGUUGGUAGCGUAACUCCGAGGCUUAACCUCGGCACUACUACCAAAACUGUUGGACUCGAGGGCAGGAGGGGCAAAUGGAAUUCCUAGUGUAGCGGUGGAAUGCGUAGAUAUUAGGAGGAACACCAGUGGCGAAGGCGAUUUGCUGGACUGUAACUGACACUGAGGCACGAAAGCGUGGGGAGCAAACAGGAUUAGAUACCCCUGUAGUC